UGUUUAGUUAUCUUCAUGAUAAUGUGCUAUGAACAUAUGCAUUAUGUUUUACUCUGAUAUUGUUUUUUUUAUAUGAAAAGUGGUAUUGCAAGCAUUAUCCUUCUUAAUCUAAAAAAAUACCUUGAGGCUACUAAUAUUUGAAUUUUAACUUCUAAAGUAGAUAGAGAGUUUUAAGCAAUUUGUUUUCACAGCUGCAGAAUGUCCAUGUAUGGUAAGCUUCAAAAU
This is a non-coding RNA of Tinamus guttatus (white-throated tinamou), 225 nucleotides long. NCBI's taxonomy places the organism in Eukaryota, Metazoa, Chordata, Aves, Tinamiformes, Tinamidae. The record is from RefSeq and is a predicted model, not a curated record.